UGAGGAAUAUUGGUCAAUGGGCGUGAGCCUGAACCAGCCAAGCCGCGUGAGGGAAGAAGGCGCCAGGCGUCGUAAACCUCUUUUGCCGGGAACAAAGGGCGCCACGUGUGGCGUUGUGAGUGUACCCGGAGAAAAAGCAUCGGCUAACUCCGUGCCAGCAGCCGCGGUAAUACGGAGGAUGCGAGCGUUAUCCGGAUUUAUUGGGUUUAAAGGGUGCGUAGGCGGACCGGAAAGUCAGCGGUAAAAGCCCGGGCUG
This 256-nucleotide ribosomal RNA is filed under the name uncultured Porphyromonadaceae bacterium. RNAcentral describes it as "partial 16S ribosomal RNA". It matches the Rfam family "Bacterial small subunit ribosomal RNA", at positions 355 to 610 of the family's 1533-position model. The record is from RNAcentral. Lineage: Bacteria; Pseudomonadati; Bacteroidota; Bacteroidia; Bacteroidales; Porphyromonadaceae.